GAUGAACGCUGGCGGCGUGCCUAAUACAUGCAAGUCGAGCGAACAGACGAGGAGCUUGCUCCUCUGACGUUAGCGGCGGACGGGUGAGUAACACGUGGAUAACCUACCUAUAAGACUGGGAUAACUUCGGGAAACCGGAGCUAAUACCGGAUAAUAUAUUGAACCGCAUGGUUCAAUAGUGAAAGACGGUUUUGCUGUCACUUAUAGAUGGAUCCGCGCCGCAUUAGCUAGUUGGUAAGGUAACGGCUUACCAAGGCAACGAUGCGUAGCCGACCUGAGAGGGUGAUCGGCCACACUGGAACUGAGACACGGUCCAGACUCCUACGGGAGGCAGCAGUAGGGAAUCUUCCGCAAUGGGCGAAAGCCUGACGGAGCAACGCCGCGUGAGUGAUGAAGGGCUUCGGAUCGUAAAACUCUGUUAUUAGGGAAGAACAAAUGUGUAAGUAACUAUGCACGUCUGGACGGUACCUAAUCAGAAAGCCACGGCUAACUACGG
This 496-nucleotide ribosomal RNA is filed under the name uncultured bacterium. RNAcentral's name for it is "partial 16S ribosomal RNA". It matches the Rfam family "Bacterial small subunit ribosomal RNA", at positions 28 to 506 of the family's 1533-position model. The record is from RNAcentral.